CAGCCGCCGCGGUAAUACGGAGGGUGCAAGCGUUAAUCGGAAUUACUGGGCGUAAAGCGUGCGUAGGUGGUGGUUUAAGUCCGUUGUGAAAGCCCUGGGCUCAACCUGGGAAUUGCGGUGGAUACUGGGUCACUAGAGUGUGGUAGAGGAUAGUGGAAUUUCCGGUGUAGCAGUGAAAUGCGUAGAGAUCGGAAGGAACAUCUGUGGCGAAGGCGACUAUCUGGGCCAACACUGACACUGAGGCACGAAAGCGUGGGGAGCAAACAGGAUUAGAUACCCCGGUAGUCCCUGUCUCUUAUAC
Molecule: ribosomal RNA, 301 nt
Filed under: uncultured bacterium
Lineage: Bacteria
Description: partial 16S ribosomal RNA
Rfam family: Bacterial small subunit ribosomal RNA
Source: RNAcentral